CAAAAUGUCUCUGGAACUCCUCAGCUACACAUCCCGGUGAUUCCACUGAGAAUUAUUUACAUCUGAGAAUGAGGGGCAUAAUGUUGUUCUCAAAAAUUGUCGUGAUGUUGGCAAGAAAAGACACGCCACUGAUCGUCUGAUACCUGGAGAACUUACCUGGCUUUCAUCUCAACUGGAACAUGGGAGCAGUACUUCCAGAAAAUGCUUAUGGGAGAGGAGUGGAGCUUUGAGCUUGAAGACUGAGCAUGAUGCUGAAGUGACUCACCUCCUAAAGAUAUCUGAACUCAGCACAAAACAAAUUAAGCAAAACAUUAAACAGCAGCAAUGGCAGCAUCCAGUGUUCCUGCUGCUGAGCAGAUGGAUGCAAAAGGGAAUCUGUUUAACAAAUGCACAGUCCUUAAAUCUUCAUAAGAAGAUGACAGACUUUCAACAGAGCUGGAAGGAAGGAGACUACACUCAGACGGGGUCAAUUCACAGAAGAGUUCCUGAUCAUGGCAACAGAGAAUUGGACCCCAGAUCAAGG
This is a long non-coding RNA of Dromaius novaehollandiae (emu), 523 nucleotides long. RefSeq lists it as uncharacterized. The transcript is spliced from 3 exons. The record is from RefSeq and is a predicted model, not a curated record. NCBI's taxonomy places the organism in Eukaryota, Metazoa, Chordata, Aves, Casuariiformes, Dromaiidae.